Molecule: non-coding RNA, 30 nt
Filed under: Homo sapiens (human)
Lineage: Eukaryota; Metazoa; Chordata; Mammalia; Primates; Hominidae
Source: RNAcentral
UACUGGUAGGAGGCAUCUGAGUGUCCAGCU